This 599-nucleotide ribosomal RNA is filed under the name uncultured Bacillota bacterium. Its description in RNAcentral is "bacterial SSU rRNA". It matches the Rfam family "Bacterial small subunit ribosomal RNA", at positions 168 to 783 of the family's 1533-position model. Lineage: Bacteria; Bacillati; Bacillota. The record is from RNAcentral.
ACCGCAUAAGCGCACGAGGACCGCAUGGUCCGGUGUGAAAAACUCCGGUGGUAUGGGAUGGGCCCGCGUCUGAUUAGCUAGUUGGCGGGGCAGAGGCCCACCAAGGCGACGAUCAGUAGCCGACCUGAGAGGGUGACCGGCCACAUUGGGACUGAGACACGGCCCAAACUCCUACGGGAGGCAGCAGUGGGGAAUAUUGCACAAUGGGGGAAACCCUGAUGCAGCGACGCCGCGUGAGUGAAGGAGUAUUUCGGUAUGUAAAGCUCUAUCAGCAGGGAAGAAGAAUGACGGUACCUGACUAAGAAGCACCGGCUAAAUACGUGCCAGCAGCCGCGGUAAUACGUAUGGUGCAAGCGUUAUCCGGAUUUACUGGGUGUAAAGGGAGCGCAGGCGGUACGGCAAGUCUGAUGUGAAAGCCCGGGGCUCAACCCCGGUACUGCAUUGGAAACUGUCGGACUAGAGUGUCGGAGGGGUAAGUGGAAUUCCUAGUGUAGCGGUGAAAUGCGUAGAUAUUAGGAGGAACACCAGUGGCGAAGGCGGCUUACUGGACGAUAACUGACGCUGAGGCUCGAAAGCGUGGGGAGCAAACAGGAUUAGAU